UUUUAAUGGUGUUGAUCAGUGUAAUGAAGAUUGCAUAAUUUUUAUGUUUUAAUUCUGUCUAUUGGUUUUCAAAAUGAAAGACUUUGAUUUUGUAAGUGCACUUUUAUCUCCUGAAAGAUUCUUUUCUAGUGUUUAGUUUAUAUUUUAAGGCUGUUUGCAAACUCGAGGUGAAAACAGUUCUAUUACAAUUUGGUAAGGACAUGACAUUGCAUAUCUGAUUUUAAAAUGUACUUUGCUGGCAACGUGUAAUUUUCUGAAAUGUCUUAGUAAGACUGUUGUUUGCAAUCAAAAGGUCUGUGCUUCAAAUACAGGGUAAUGCAUGUUUUUUGUCCAAAUUUAUGGCGAUUCAGACAUUGUUCUAUGUAAAUAUGGGGUUUGCUUGAAGGUUCAGUCUAUUUUUAUGUCCCUCACUAUAGUAGUGGGGGACAUAUUGUUUUUGUCCUGUCUGUUGGUUGGUUGGUUGGUUGAUCUGUUUACGCCAACUUUAACAUUUGCAAUAACUUUUGCAAUAUUGAAGAUAGCAACUUGAUAUUUGGCAUGCAAAUGUAUCUCAUAGAGCUGCACAUUUUAAUUUUCUGAAAGGUCAAGGUCAUCCUUCAAGGUCAGAGGUCAAAUAUAUGUGGCCAAAAUCGCUCAUUUUAUGAAUACUUUUGCAAUAUUGAAGAUAGCAACUUCAUAUUUGGCAAGCAUGUGUAUCUCAUGGAGCUGCACAUUUUGAGUGGUGAAAGGUCAAGGUCAUAAUUCAAUGUCAUAGGUCGAAUAUAUGGCUUCAAAGCGGCGCAGUAAGGGGGAUUGUGUUUUACGAACACAGCUCUUGUUGUUAACUGCCUUUUUAGUCCCUUACCAGUGUUUCACUAAAGUCCGUGUACUUUGGACUCAUUUCAAGUUGACAUUUGAAGCUUUUACUUUGUAUGAUUCUAAAUAUGUGUCAAUGCUGUCGGUUGAAUUUUGAAAUAUGAAGUUUUCCAUUUUUUGUAGAUUAAAUAAUUUGUAAAAUGUUGCAGUUUCGUCAAUCAGUUUUAUAAGAUAUUGAGCUUUAGUUAUGAUGCAGAUUGUAAGAUUCUUAAUAUCUUUCAAUAUUGUGGAUAAGUUUUUGAGAUAUCAAGCUUUGAAUUUUAUGCAAAUUGUAUGAUUUAAAAUGUUUUAAUUUGUUGAUCAGUGUACUGAAGAUUGUAUACUUUUUAUAUGUUAUAAUUCUGUCUAUUGGUUUUCAAAAUGAAAGACUUUGAUUUUGUAAGUGCACUUUUAUCUCAUUAUGCCCCCCUUCGAAGAAGAGGGGGUAUAUUGCUUUGCUCAUGUCGGUCGGUCUGUCGGUAUGUCAGUCUGUCGGUCCGUCCACCAGGUGGUUGUCAGACGAUAACUCAAGAACGCUUGGGCCUAGGAUCAUGAAACUUCAUAAGGUACAUUGAUCAUGACUCGCAGAUGACCCCUAUUGAUUUUGAGGUCACUAGGUCAAAGGUCAAGGUCACGGUGACCCAAAAUAGUAAAAUGGUUUCCGGAUGGUAACUCAAAAAUUCAUACGCCUAGGAUCAUGAAACUUCAUGGCUAGAUUGAUCAUGACUCGCAGAUGACCCCUAUUGAUUUUGAGGUCACUAGGUCAAAGGUCAAGGUCACGGUGACCCGAAAUAGUAAAAUGGUUUUCGGAUAAUAACUCAAGAACGCAUAUGCCUAGGAUCAUGAAACUUCACAGGUAGAUUGAUCAUGACUCACAGAUGACCCUUAUUGAUUUUGAGGUCACAAGGUCAAGGUCACGGUGACCCGAAAUAGUAAAAUGAUUUUCGGAUGAUAACUCAAGAACGCUUUUGCCUAGGAUCAUGACACUUCAUAGGUAAAUUGAUCGUGACUCACAGAUGACCCCUAUUGAUUUUCGGGUCACUAGGUCAAAGGUCAAGGUCACAGUGACAAAAAACGUAUUCACACAAUGGCUGCCACUACAACAGACAGCCCAUAUGGGGGCAUGCAUGUUUUACAAACAGCCCUUGUUAAAGAUUCUUUUCUAGUGUUUAGUUUAUAUUUUAAGGCUGUUUGCAAACUCGAAGUGAAAACAGCUCUAGUACAAUUUGGUAAGGACAUGACAUUGCAUAUCUGAUUUAAAAAUGUACUUUGCUGGCAACGUGUAAUUUUCAGAAAUGUCUUAGUAAGUAAGACUGUUGUUUGCAAUCAAAAGGUCUGUGCUUCGAUUCCAGGAAAAUGCAUGUUUUUUGUCCAAAUUUAUGUCAAUUCAGACAGUGUUCUGUGUAAAUAUGGGGUUUGCUUGUAGGAUCAGUCUAUUUUUAUGUCCCCCACUAUAGUAGUGGGGGACAUGUUGUUUUUGCUCUGUCGGUCUGUUGGUUGGUUGGUUGGUCUGUUUAUGCCAACUUUAACAUUUUGCAAUAACUUGCAAUAUUGAAGGUAGCAACUUGAUAUUUGGCAUGCAAAUGCAUCUCCUGAAGCUGCACAUUUUGAUUGGUGAAAGGUCAAGGUCAUCCUUCAAGGUCAGAGGUCAAAUAUAUGUGGCCAAAAUCGCUCAUUUUAUGAAUACUUUUGCAAUAUUGAAGAUAGCAACUUGAUAUUUGGCAAGCAUGUGUAUCUCAUUGAGCGGCACAUUUUGAGUGGUGAAAGGUCAAGGUCAUCCUUCAAGGUCAGAGGUCAAAUAUAUGUGGCCCAAAUCGCUUAUUUUAUUAAUACCUUUGCAAUAGUGAAGAUAGCAACUUGAAAUUUGGCAUGCAUGUGUAUCUCAUGGAGCUGCAAAUUUUGAGUGUUGAAAGGUCAAAGUCAUCCUUCAAGGUCAGAGGUUAAAUAUAUGUGGCCCAAAUCGCUUAUUUUAUGAAUACUUGUGCACUAUUGAAGAUAGCAACUUGAUAUUUGGCAUGCAUAUGUAUCUCAUAGAGCUGCACAUUUUGAGUGGUGAAAGGUCAAGGUCAUCCUUCAAGGUCAAAUAUAUGGGUCAAAAUUGCUCAUGUUAUGUUACUUCUGCAAUAUUGAAGCUAGCAAUUUUAUAUUUGACAUGCAUGUGUAUCUCAUGGCGCUGCACAUUUUGAGUGGUGAAGGGUCAAGGUCAUCCUUCAAGGUCAAACGUUAUAUACGGGGACAUUGGGUUUCACAAACGCAUCUUGUUGUGUAUGUAAUUAAUUUUGCUUAAUUUUUGUGAUCCCCCACAAACAGCGGAGGGAUAUUAAUUUGGCAUUGUCCGUCUUUCCGUCUGUCCGUCCGGCACUUUUGUGUCCGAAACCAUAUCUUGGAAGUGCUUUGGCAGAUUUCAUUGAAACUUGGUAUGAGUAUAUAUAUAUGGAUAAGAGGAUGAUGCACGCCAAAUGGCAUUGUACAUCCUUGAAUAAUAGCGGAGUUAUGACCCUUUGUAUUUGAAAAAAAUGCUUUUUUUGUGUGUCCAGAGCCAUAACUUGUAUCCAGAAGUAUAAUGGCGGGGGAUAUCAAUUCAACGAAUUUGCUUAUUAAAUCAGUUUUUAUUUUCAUGAUAAUCAUUUAGUUCGUACUGCAACUUAUGAUGGAUUGUUACUACUAUCUCCAAUUAUUUGUUUGUCAUGGGUCCGUCACCAUUUAUCUCUUAUAUAAUACUUGAAUUGAGCAUUUCACAAUCUGACAAUCAUGCAUAUCAUUUAUUAGUUUCAUAAUAAAACGUCUGACAAGGGUCAGAUAAUUUUAA
Dreissena polymorpha is the source of this 3643-nucleotide long non-coding RNA. RefSeq lists it as uncharacterized. The record is from RefSeq and is a predicted model, not a curated record. The transcript is spliced from 2 exons. NCBI's taxonomy places the organism in Eukaryota, Metazoa, Mollusca, Bivalvia, Myida, Dreissenidae.